UACGGAGGGGGCAAGCGUUGUUCGGAGUUACUGGGCGUAAAGGGCGCGUAGGCGGUGCGACAAGUCAGGCGUGAAGCCCCGGGCUUAACCUGGGAAUUGCGCUUGAUACUGUCGCGUGAGAUCGGGAGGAGGAUGGCGGAAUUCCCAGUGUAGAGGUGAAAUUCGUAGAUAUUGGGAAGAACACCUGUGGCGAAAGCGGCGCACUGGACCACUACUGACGUGAUGCGCGGAAAGCGUGGGGGAGCAAACAGG
RNAcentral lists this ribosomal RNA (252 nucleotides) under uncultured bacterium. RNAcentral's name for it is "partial 16S ribosomal RNA". It matches the Rfam family "Bacterial small subunit ribosomal RNA", at positions 524 to 776 of the family's 1533-position model. The record is from RNAcentral.